Molecule: ribosomal RNA, 527 nt
Filed under: uncultured bacterium
Lineage: Bacteria
Description: partial 16S ribosomal RNA
Rfam family: Bacterial small subunit ribosomal RNA
Source: RNAcentral
UGGGGAAUUUUGGACAAUGGGGGGAAACCCUGAUCCAGCCAUCCCGCGUGUGCGAUGAAGGCCUUCGGGUUGUAAAGCACUUUUGGCAGGAAAGAAACGUCGCGGGUUAAUACCCCGCGAAACUGACGGUACCUGCAGAAUAAGCACCGGCUAACUACGUGCCAGCAGCCGCGGUAAUACGUAGGGUGCAAGCGUUAAUCGGAAUUACUGGGCGUAAAGCGUGCGCAGGCGGUUCGGAAAGAAAGAUGUGAAAUCCCAGAGCUUAACUUUGGAACUGCAUUUUUAACUACCGGGCUAGAGUGUGUCAGAGGGAGGUGGAAUUCCGCGUGUAGCAGUGAAAUGCGUAGAUAUGCGGAGGAACACCGAUGGCGAAGGCAGCCUCCUGGGAUAACACUGACGCUCAUGCACGAAAGCGUGGGGAGCAAACAGGAUUAGAUACCCUGGUAGUCCACGCCCUAAACGAUGUCAACUAGCUGUUGGGGCCUUCGGGCCUUGGUAGCGCAGCUAACGCGUGAAGUUGACCGCCU